UCCAGACUCCUACGGGAGGCAGCAGUGGGGGAUAUUGCACAAUGGGGGAAACCCUGGUGCAGCGACGCCGCGUGUGGGAAGACGGUCCUCUGGAUUGUAAACCACUGUCCCCAGGGACGAAGAUGACGGUACCUGGGGAGGAAGCUCCGGCUAACUACGUGCCAGCAGCCGCGGUAAUACGUAGGGAGCAAGCGUUGUCCGGAAUUACUGGGUGUAAAGGGGGCGUAGGCGGGAUGGCAAGUUGGGUGUUAAAUCUACCGGCUCAACUGGUAGUCGCACUCAAAACUGCUAUUCUUGAGUGAAGUAGAGGCAGGCGGAAUUCCUAGUGUAGCGGUGAAAUGCGUAGAUAUUAGGAGGAACACCGGCGGCGAAGGCGGCCUGCUGGACUGCGACUGACGUUGAGGCUCGAAAGCGUGGGGAGCGAACAGGAUUAGAUACCCCAGUAAA
Molecule: ribosomal RNA, 447 nt
Filed under: uncultured bacterium
Lineage: Bacteria
Description: bacterial SSU rRNA
Rfam family: Bacterial small subunit ribosomal RNA
Source: RNAcentral